Coregonus clupeaformis (lake whitefish) is the source of this 210-nucleotide long non-coding RNA. RefSeq lists it as uncharacterized. Lineage: Eukaryota; Metazoa; Chordata; Actinopteri; Salmoniformes; Salmonidae. The record is from RefSeq and is a predicted model, not a curated record. The transcript has 3 exons.
ACCAGGAACAGACCUACCAGCGCCUGUUACAGGAGAAUGCUCGCUUCCCAGGUAUCCUGGCUCGUUUGGAGGAAGACCCCAUCUGCCAGCGUCUUCCCCUCGCCUCCUUCCUCAUCCUUCCGUUCCAGAGGAUCACACGGCUUAAGAUGCUGGUGGAGAAUAUCCUAAAGAGGACAACACCAGGCUCUAGAGAUGAGGACACAGCCACCA